RNAcentral lists this ribosomal RNA (480 nucleotides) under Triticum aestivum (bread wheat). RNAcentral describes it as "partial small subunit ribosomal RNA". The record is from RNAcentral. Lineage: Eukaryota; Viridiplantae; Streptophyta; Magnoliopsida; Poales; Poaceae.
AUGGAGUUGGAGUUGAGGUCGGUGGAGCGUCAGGGGGCCCACGAGGCAGGGGGCGCGCGCCCAGGGGGGCAGGCGCGCCCCCCACCCUUGCGGACAGGUGGAGGCCCCCCUGACGUGGAUUCUUCUUCUAGUAUUUUUAAUAUUUUCCAAAAAUAUGUUCCGUGGAGUUUCAGGUCAUUCCGGGAACUUUUGUUUCUGCACAUAAAUAACACCAUGGAAAGUCUGCUGAAAACAGCGCCAGUCCGGGUUAGUUCCAUUCAAAUCAUGCAAGUUAGAGUCCAAAACAAGGGCAAAAGUGUUUGGAAAAGUAGAUACGACGGAGACGUACCAACUCCCCCAAGCUUAAACCUUUGUUUGUCCUCAAGCAAUUUAGUUGAUAAACUGAAAGUGAUAAAGAAAAACUUUUACAAACUCUGUUUGCUCUUGUUGUUGCAAAUAUGUAAAGCCAACAUUCAAGUUUUCAGCAAAGAUUAUGACUAA